CCCCUCUCAGGGUCACACCUGUAGAGUUUCCAAUACUUUACCAGUCUUGGCUACCGGAGGAAGAAUCAAGCAGACCCAUUCCAUUCCUAGCUUGGGCAGUGGCUAGUGAGUGGAAGGCAAUCUGCUACAAAU
Small nucleolar RNA from Tachyglossus aculeatus (Australian echidna), 132 nucleotides. NCBI's taxonomy places the organism in Eukaryota, Metazoa, Chordata, Mammalia, Monotremata, Tachyglossidae. The record is from RefSeq and is a predicted model, not a curated record.